This is a non-coding RNA of Salmo salar (Atlantic salmon), 54 nucleotides long. The record is from Rfam. NCBI's taxonomy places the organism in Eukaryota, Metazoa, Chordata, Actinopteri, Salmoniformes, Salmonidae.
UGCACUCACUACUGUAAGUCAUUCUGGAUAAGAGUGGCUGCUAAAUGACUAAUA